CCCGUCUCUCCUCGAACCAAACACGCGUGACGCCGCACCCAGCGGUUUCGAGCAGAAAACACAGAGAGUGGCCCCUACACACAAGAACAGAGCUACCAUGAGACGGACCAGCAUGCUCAGCGCAGGGCUGCUCAUAUCCAGACUGGGCGCAUGAGAGAAAUUCUCCUGCAGAUUUCUGUGUGGUGAAAAGAAGCGCUGAUCCAAGAAAUAGAGCUGGUUGUAAUAUUCCGUCAGCAGCUCCUGUCCCGCCUCAUUCCUGCUGGGAGUUCGCAUGGCCUAUGGAGAAAGUGGUGUGUUAAUCAGCUGUUUGAACUCUCAAUUCUGACGGCACCCAUUCGCUGCAGAGGAUCUACUGGUGAGAAAGUGAUGCAACACUACAUUUCUCCAAAUCUGAUAAAGAAACAAACUCAUCUACGUCUUAGAUGGCCCAAGGAUAAAAAUGUGAUUUUUCUGUCCUUCAAGCAAGUUGACCCAGUUAUCAGAAAGUCUAUAGACAGACUUGCGUCCCGGCAGUGUGCUUUUCUCUGGAUCUUCACUUAUCUUCAUUCUGGGACGACCUCUGACCUCUAUCAGCUACACUGGGAAACUCUUGGUACCUUAUAUACACACCCCAGAGAGGGCUGACGCGUGCACGUGACCAGAUGAGUGCCCACUCCGACAACAUCAAUCUCAUUAUCCUGACACACACACAAACAGGUGGUCUGAAGGAAGCGUCUCACUGUUUGCUACAUUCUUUAAAGAUGCGCCGCACUUCCAGCGACUGCCUGCAGAGGUCCCCGCUGUCCAGCCUGACGCCCAGCGGCCGGUACUGCAGCUCACAAAGAGCCAAAGCCACGGCACAGAAACACGGCAGGAAGUUUUGCGGGUAUGCGAUGGCGUAGGACAGGAAGGCCGCCAGUUCGCCCUCCCGAACGAGGUUCGUCUUUGACCCCAAUAGCUGACAGACACGACCCAGCCAGCCUUUCACUAAACAGAUGAAGUCAAUAGGGUCACCACCACCGCCGCAGGGCGCCAGAGUCUGCAUGACAAAUCAACACAUACGCUUUGUCAUUUGAGUUAACCAGGCAGAGCAGACUGGUCUCCAGCAGCUGAACCACAGCCAGCGGUCCGGAUACUUCCAGAAGAGGAACCUGAACACAUGAAUCACAGUCAACAAGCUCUCGCAGAAGCGGAUCAGAUUACAGCUGACCUCUGAACCGCUCACAUACUCUAGCGAACACCACCGAUCCCUCAGGUGAUCAACUGCAUUCAUACACAUGUAUAUAGCAUGGAGGAAAUGGACAUUCGGAUUUGGGAAAAAACAAGGG
This is a long non-coding RNA of Labeo rohita (rohu), 1307 nucleotides long. RefSeq lists it as uncharacterized. NCBI's taxonomy places the organism in Eukaryota, Metazoa, Chordata, Actinopteri, Cypriniformes, Cyprinidae. The transcript has 11 exons. The record is from RefSeq and is a predicted model, not a curated record.